GAUGAACGCUGGCGGCGUGCCUAAUACAUGCAAGUCGAGCGAACAGACGAGGAGCUUGCUCCUCUGACGUUAGCGGCGGACGGGUGAGGAACACGUGGAUAACCUACCUAUAAGACUGGGAUAACUUCGGGAAACCGGAGCUAAUACCGGAUAAUAUAUUGAACCGCAUUGUUCAAUAGGGAAAGACGGUUUUGCUGUCACUUAUAGAUGGAUCCGCGCCGCAUUAGCUAGUUGGUAAGGUAACGGCUUACCAAGGCAACGAUGCGUAGCCGACCUGAGAGGGUGAUCGGCCACACUGGGACUGAGACACGGCCCAGACUCCUACGGGAGGCAGCAGUAGGGAAUCUUCGGCAAUGGACGAAAGUCUGACCGAGCAACGCCGCGUGAGUGAAGAAGGUGUUCGGAUCGUAAAACUCUGUUGUUAGAGAAGAACAAGUACGUAAGUAACUAAACGUGCCCUGACGGUAUCUAACCAGAAAGCCACGGCUAACUACGUG
RNAcentral lists this ribosomal RNA (497 nucleotides) under uncultured bacterium. Its description in RNAcentral is "partial 16S ribosomal RNA". It matches the Rfam family "Bacterial small subunit ribosomal RNA", at positions 28 to 507 of the family's 1533-position model. The record is from RNAcentral.